GCUUACGGCCAUACCAGCCUGAAUACGCCCGAUCUCGUCUGAUGUCGGAAGCUAAGCAGGGUCGGGCCUGGUUAGUACUUGGAUGGGAGACCGCCUGGGAAUACCAGGUGCUGUAAGCU
RNAcentral lists this ribosomal RNA (119 nucleotides) under Amphiprion percula (orange clownfish). Lineage: Eukaryota; Metazoa; Chordata; Actinopteri; Pomacentridae. The record is from RNAcentral.